AAAAUUUUUGCACUUUGGAUUUUGCAAAAUCCAAAAUGUUCCAAAAUCCCAAAACUGUGAGUGCCAAUAUGACACUCAAAUGAAAUGCUCACCAGGGAAUUUCAGAGUUUGGAUUUUCAGAUUAGGGAUCCUCAGCCUGUAUAAGCACUUUAUAGAAGAAAGGCCCAGGGCUCAGUGCUAUGUCUUACCAGUGUUUACAAGAG
Sapajus apella (tufted capuchin) is the source of this 203-nucleotide long non-coding RNA. RefSeq lists it as uncharacterized. The transcript is spliced from 4 exons. The record is from RefSeq and is a predicted model, not a curated record. NCBI's taxonomy places the organism in Eukaryota, Metazoa, Chordata, Mammalia, Primates, Cebidae.